This 318-nucleotide long non-coding RNA is filed under the name Homo sapiens (human). RNAcentral's name for it is "non-protein coding lnc-DUXA-1:1". The record is from RNAcentral. Lineage: Eukaryota; Metazoa; Chordata; Mammalia; Primates; Hominidae.
CUGUCACCUUCGACUAGAGCUGAAGCUGUGCACUCCCUCCUGGGAAAACAAUGCUCUGGCAGAUGUGCAACAUCCACCUCUCACUGUCUACCUCUCAGUCUACUUCUCCCAAAACUGCCCUGCUUCCAGGGACCUGAGCUGAAGCUGCACAUUGCCUCCUGAGGAAAGGAUGCCUUGGCGAAGCUCCUCCACCUACCCCUCCCAGAUGCUGCUACAUCCUGCCCCUCUAGGCCAGAGCUGAAGCAAUGCCAGGCAUCCUGGGAAAACAGUGCUUUGGCCAUCGAGAGCAGUCAUGCCUCCCCAGUGCCUAAGUUUAAG